AUACGUAGGUGGCAAGCGUUGUCCGGAAUUAUUGGGCGUAAAGCGCGCGCAGGCGGUCCUUUAAGUCUGAUGUGAAAGCCCACGGCUCAACCGCGGCGGGUCAUUGGAAACUGGGGGACUUGAGUGCAGAACAGGAAAGUGGAAUUCCAAGUGUAGAGGUGAAAGGCGUAGAGAUUUGGAGGAACACCAGUGGCGAAGGCGACUUUCUGGUCUGUAACUGACGCUGAGGCGCGAAAGCGUGGGGAGCAAACAGGAUUAGAUACCCUGGUAGUCCACGCCGUAAACGAUGAGUGCUAAGUGUUAGGGGGUUUCCGCCCCUUAGUGCUGCAGCUAACGCAUUAAGCACUCCGCCUGGGGAGUACGGUCGCAAGACUGAAACUCAAAUGAAUUGACGGGG
Molecule: ribosomal RNA, 397 nt
Filed under: uncultured bacterium
Lineage: Bacteria
Description: partial 16S ribosomal RNA
Rfam family: Bacterial small subunit ribosomal RNA
Source: RNAcentral